ACCAGCCUGAGGCGCGCCGUGAGUUCUCCCGAGGAGGUUGUCCCUGGAUCCCGGGACCCUGGCAGUGGCAGGCUGCACAGGCUCCCCGGAAUGGGGGUGUGGAUAGUAACCUGUGCUCGCACACAGGUUUCUUGGUGGCGGCAGCAGCAGCCUUAGCGUCUCAUGCCUGUCUCUGGGGUCCGCGCUUUUAGCCGCGGCCCUCGCCCGUCUCUGGAGCUCCUUUAAGCAGCGUUCUCAAUCCCCUCUCCUCGCGCACCAGAAGGAAGACUGGUCUCCAGCCUGCCCAGGAUACGGAACUGAAGAUGCAGCGGGCUGAUUUUGCCCGUGGCUUUUUUUUUCAUUGAUAUGGUCCCUGUUCCUUGGUUCAUGUGUCAGCUGAUGAAAGCAGCAAUGACCUUUUCCAACAAUUGGCCUCUGUCUUUACAUUGGCUUUCUGCACUUGACUGGGAGCCAUGAAGAUCACCUUAAGGGCACCUUUCAACCUAUUCCUGUGAAAUGGCAACAGAACAGAAAAUGACACAGAAGUAAAGGGACACUGAGGAAUAGAUACAGGUCCUUUUAGCUUGUGAAUGUGAAAAUGUCACAGGUCCCUUCUGAGCAUGUUCCAGCUGGAGGCAAAAAACCACUUUGGGAUAAACAUGUGGACCACAUGUGCAGAAGCACUGAAAAUUAGACAGACGUAGAAAUUGCCAUGAGAUGGAGAAUAAUCAAUACUCAGAAG
Long non-coding RNA from Lagenorhynchus albirostris (white-beaked dolphin), 721 nucleotides. RefSeq lists it as uncharacterized. Lineage: Eukaryota; Metazoa; Chordata; Mammalia; Artiodactyla; Delphinidae. The record is from RefSeq and is a predicted model, not a curated record. The transcript is spliced from 3 exons.